Long non-coding RNA from Xenopus laevis (African clawed frog), 316 nucleotides. RefSeq lists it as uncharacterized. Lineage: Eukaryota; Metazoa; Chordata; Amphibia; Anura; Pipidae. The record is from RefSeq and is a predicted model, not a curated record. The transcript is spliced from 3 exons.
UGUUGGCAUCUUAUGUCAUCAAAGAACAACUUGUUGCAGUGAAAAUCAUCGAAAAGAAACGGGAGAACAUCUUCAAGUUUGUCACGAGAGAGGCAUCAGUUCUUCAGCUUGCCGGCAGAUGCCCAUUUCUAUGCCGGGGAAUGGCAACAUUUCAAACUCAGUCACUCAUGCUGCUAGUGCUGGAGUAUAUCAGUGGUGGCACACUGGAUGACCUCAUAAAGAGCAGAGGACGUCUGACCAGUGACCAAAUACUGUUUUAUUCUUCAGAACUAGCAGUAGGUUUGAAGUUCCUGCAUGCAAACGGGAUCGUGCAUCG